CUUAAAAUUCUAUUGAGUCACAGAACGGGAAAGCAGAGAGGAAAUAAAUCAUUGAUCCAAUCCAUCUUCCACCUCAACAGAGGAGGAAACUGAGGCCCAACCCCAGGAAGGGAUCCGCCUUGCCUUUGACCACCCAGGCCCCCUGACUGACCAGCCAUGCCCAGCCCCAUUUCAGGGGUGAGGGGAGGCUGGCUCAGCCCUGACUUCUUCCCCCCUGAGGUUCCUAGGUCCUGCAUGAGGCUGGUGCACAAGCUGAUUCUGCUGAGAAAGAAGCCAAGAAGCCUCCCUUAAACACUUCUACUUUGCCCCAGGAAAAAGGGAGAUACCUGUUGUCUCUACUCUCGGCAGGCUGACUACCCUUUGUAAUGGGAUUGAUUCCACUCCAUGGGCCUCUCUUUCCAGGGGGUUUCAGGCCCUUCCCCAGCAGCAGCACUGGAAAUGGCGGGUCUGCUCUUGACAACAUGGUAUCACCCACGCAGCCCAGAGCCUCACACAUGGCAGGUGUCAAAGGUUAAUGAUGCCCAGGAAGGAGGCACAGCUGUACAGCCCAGGCCGAGAGCUGCUCAAAGAGACCCCUGUUAAUCCUCAGGCCUGUGGAAAGGCAAGGGCGUGACCUCAAGGCCAGUCUGACGAUAAGUCUGACCUUGAGCAGGAAGGAGGGCGACUUUGCCAAAGCUCUUCAACACCCUCUAAUUUCAUACUGACAAGGUCUCUGUGAGUAUUCCUGCCUCCUCUUCCCAUGUCACGGAUAAAGAAACUGGACCCAGGGACGUUCAGCGGCCUGUA
This 786-nucleotide long non-coding RNA is filed under the name Phascolarctos cinereus (koala). Its description in RNAcentral is "lncRNA (ENSPCIG00000031506.1)". The record is from RNAcentral. Lineage: Eukaryota; Metazoa; Chordata; Mammalia; Diprotodontia; Phascolarctidae.